CGAACGGGUGAGUAACACGUGGGUGAUCUGCCCUGCACUCUGGGAUAAGCCUGGGAAACUGGGUCUAAUACCGGAUAGGACCAUGCUUUAGUGUGUGUGGUGGAAAGUUUUUCGGUGUAGGAUGAGCCCGCGGCCUAUCAGCUUGUUGGUGGGGUAAUGGCCUACCAAGGCAACGAUGCGUAGCCGACCUGAGAGGGUGAUCGGCCACACUGGAACUGAGACACGGUCCAG
Molecule: ribosomal RNA, 231 nt
Filed under: uncultured Actinomycetales bacterium
Lineage: Bacteria; Bacillati; Actinomycetota; Actinomycetes; Actinomycetales
Description: partial 16S ribosomal RNA
Rfam family: Bacterial small subunit ribosomal RNA
Source: RNAcentral